Petromyzon marinus (sea lamprey) is the source of this 2188-nucleotide non-coding RNA. NCBI's taxonomy places the organism in Eukaryota, Metazoa, Chordata, Hyperoartia, Petromyzontiformes, Petromyzontidae. The record is from RefSeq and is a predicted model, not a curated record.
AGGAAGUGAAUUACAGGAGUACAUCAUCAGCAGCACGAGGUCGUCGUCGUCGUCAUCAUCGUUGUCAUCAUCGUCGUCAUCAUCGUCGUCAUCAUCGUCGUCGUCAUCAUUGUCGUCAUCCUCCUCGCACUAUAAUUUCAGUAUUGUCGGCGUAUCAGUAUUACGAUCGUGUUAUUCACUACAUUUUUUUUUUUACGAAAAAUAAUUAUUUUGUAUUGUUAAUAAUGAGAAAUCCGUUUUGUAUAAUUUUAAACGUGAGCUUUUUGAAACCCGUUUCUCAUCUUUCGGUACCAUGUAAAUGUUUUUUUUUACAAUGUCAAUAUUCCAUAUACAACUGUACUGCAUUGUACAUAUAACGUAGUACUGUGACAUACAGUACCGUAGACUGUAAUCCCAUUACCGAAUUGUAUUUUACGUACGGUCUAUCACCAAGGGUCAAGAGGUCAUCGUGGACAAUGCCACUGUACCCCCGUCCAUUGGCGUCGCUUCCUUCCCUCUGCCAGUCUCCAAGGUCAAAAGGUCAUCGUAGACAAUGCCACUGUACCCCCGUCCAUUGGCGUCGCUUCCUUCCCUCUGCCAGUCUCCAGGGUCAAAAGGUCAUCACGGACAAUGCCACUGUACCCCCCCGCGAUUGGCAUUUACCGACAUUGAGCCACGGUCUAUCCACUGCUGGACGGAGACCUUCCCUGACCGCUGUCACCUCUCACCCCGUCGAUCCGCCUCCGUGCGAGCCGAUUCCAUCCGCUCCAUCUCCGAGGGGCCGGACGCUCCCACCUGGGCCGCGUUUUGGCUGCCUUUGCAUCGUCGCUGCUGGCGCCGGCCUUGAACGGUCACCGGCCAUCCACCCAUCGUCGUUAUUUUCAUCAUCAUCGUCAUCUCCAUCGUCAUCACCAUCGUCGUCAUCGUAAUUGUCGUUGUCGUCAUCAUCGUCAGUGUCAUCACCAUCGUCGUCAUUGUCAUAGUCGUUGUCAUCAUCGUCAUCGUCGUUGUCAUCAUCGUCGUCAUUGUCGUCAUCCCCUCCUGACCGCGACGCGUCCCGAACGAGCCCCCGCCCACUUAACUCUCCCCCACAGUCGCUGCGAUCUCUCUUACAUCUCAUCCGCGUAACGCUCCUCUCACCCACGUACCUACUCCCGUAGGUGUAAAAUCCCUCACCCCUCACCUUCUCCCCUUCCCCCCCCCCCCAUGCUAACCGGUAGCCCCGAGGGGGGUGGUGUGGGGGGGGGGGCAGUGAGCGUCCACAUCGGCCGCCUUUUAUAAUUUCUGUUUUUAAAUCAGCGUUUCAAAGACAAAGAUCCUACCCCCCACCCCCCCUCCCGUGUGUAGCCUCUAACACAGCGGUCCCCAAACUUUUUGGCACCAGGGACCGAUUUCGUGGAAGACGAUAUUUUCAUGAACGGUGGGAGGGUUCAUCAUUGGGUCUUUCCCCCCCCCCUUUUCAAAUAAGCUCUCCAGCGACUAUUUGUUUCGUUACUCAUCUUGGCUACUAGGGGGUUAGCGCUUGCGGGCUUCAUACCAACAACACCACGUGACUGAGACUGAGCGCGCGGUGCGGGAAAGAUGCGCGCACGGGAAGUUGUAAAAUAAUAAAACAAUGGGGGGCGAGUCACGCUCGGACUCACCGCUCUCACCUCCUGCUGCUGUGCGGCCCGGUUCCUAACAGGCCACGGACCGGUACCAGUUCCUUGGCCCGGGGGUUUGGGGACCCCUGCUCUAACAGACUGUCGGGGCAAGUGGCUGUUAGCGAGUAGCAGCAUCCCUGUGGCACACGGAGAGGGGGAGGGUGGGUGGCCAGCAACCAUGCCAGUCCGCCUUUGUCUCUCCCCCCCCCCACACACACACACCAGCAGCAUCUUUGUAAGCAUCGUUAGGGGUGCCCGCACGCCCGGAACGAGUGGAUGGGUGGGUUCACGUCUUAAGGGGUCACCUGGGUUCUCCUUCCUCUUUGCGUGUAAGCGAAUCGCUUGUUUUGUUGUUGUUGUUGUGUAAAGUUAAAAAAAAGUUAAAAAGUGUCGACGUGACAUUCAGCAGUAAACGAUUUUUUUUGUUUUGGGCGAGAUUUUUUGUUUUUACUUCUCCCCCCCCCCCCCCCACUCGUUGUGUUUCCCCGUGCCCGGUUCGGCGAGGGGCCUCGUUCGUGUCGAAUUGUCUUGUUAAAUAAUUAAAGUGAACGUGCAGCCUCCCACAA